Mycena latifolia is the source of this 94-nucleotide non-coding RNA. NCBI's taxonomy places the organism in Eukaryota, Fungi, Basidiomycota, Agaricomycetes, Agaricales, Mycenaceae. The record is from the annotation of a GenBank genome assembly.
UCGGGUAUGGUGUACGGUACAUCGCGUGCCUUCAUAACAUUGAUAGCCUUUGAAUGUUAGCGCGCAGUCCGGGGUUCGACUCCCCGUGCCCGAA